GCCAUGGCGGGAAGCGAGUCGCGCAGUGGAGGCGGCUCCCCUCAGCCUCACCACAGCGACUGGGGCCGCCUGGAGGCUGCUAUCCUCAGCGGCUGGAGGAGCUUCUGGCAGUCGGUGGGCAAGGAGAGGGCGGCUCCGAGGGCCUCCCCGGAGGAGGCGGACGAGGAGGCCAGCUCGCUAACGCGGCUGCCGAUUGAUGUACAGCUAUAUAUUUUGUCAUUUCUUUCACCUCAUGAUCUAUGUCAGUUGGGAAGUACAAGUCAUUAUUGGAAUGAAACUGUACGAGAUGCAAUUCUGUGGAGAUAUUUUCUGUUGCGGGAUCUUCCUUCUUGGUCUUCUGUUGACUGGAAGUCUCUUCCAGAUCUAGAAAUCUUAAAAAAGCCUAUAUCUGAGGUCACUGAUGGUGCAUUUUUUGACUACAUGGCAGUCUAUAAAAUGUGCUGUCCAUAUACAAGAAGAUCCUCAAAAUCUAGCCGUCCUAUGUAUGGAGCUGUCACCUCAUUUUUACACUCAUUGAUCAUUCAGAAUGAACCACGAUUUGCCAUGUUUGGACCAGGUUUGGAAGAACUAAAUACAUCUUUGGUGUUGAGCUUGAUGUCUUCCGAGGAGCUUUGCCCAACAGCUGGUUUGCCUCAGAGGCAGAUUGAUGGUAUUGGAUCAGGAGUCAGUUUUCAGUUGAGCAACCAACAUAAAUUCAACAUCCUAAUAUUAUAUUCAACUACAAGAAAGGAAAGAGAUAGAGCAAGAGAAGAACAUACAAGUGCAGUUAACAAGAUGUUCAGUAUACAGAAUGAAGGGGAUGAUCAACAAGGAAGCCGGUACAGUGUAAUUCCACAAAUUCAGAAGGUGUGUGAAGUUGUUGAUGGGUUCAUCUAUGUUGCAAAUGCUGAAGCUCAUAAAAGACAUGAAUGGCAAGAUGAAUUUUCUCGUAUUAUGGCAAUGACAGAUCCAGCUUUUGGAUCUUCAGGAAGACCAAUGCUGGUUUUAUCUUGUAUUUCUCAAGCUAAUGUAAAAAGAAUGCCCUGUUUUUAUUUGGCCCAUGAGCUGCGUCUGAAUCAUCUAAGCCACCCGUGGAUGGUCCAGGAUACAGAGGCUGAAACUUUAACUGGUUUUUUGAAUGGCAUUCAGUGGAUUCUUGAAGAAGUAGAAUCUAAGCAUGCAAGAUGAUCCUCCUUUUAGACCUUGGGAACUGAAAGCAUUUGAAACUUGUUACUAAGGUCGUGAUGUGGAUAUUUGCUCAAGUCAGCUCAUUCUGCCCUGCCUUUUUGCAGCUGGAACAUUGGUCUUCUCCUGCCUUCACAAUUGGACUUGGACAGGAACUACACCAUUGGUUUUACUGGGUCUUCACCAGAUUUCUGGGUUCAACUGCAGAUCUUGGAACUUCUCAGUCUCCAUAAUCACCAAUGUUUUCUUCUAUGAUUAAGAGAAAUGUAACAGAAAGGUGAAGGAUAAGAAAAGAGUGAAAAGAUGUUUGAGGAAGCGGAGCAAGCCAAAGAACUAUGUGUACCAUUCCACUUUUAUUUGGGGAGGAUGUGCACGAGGAUAUGUUACGUGCACUUUUGUUGCCGACGAACACCACAGCUGCAGAACUAUUCAAGUCUUUGAAUGGUUACAUAUCAGGAAAACUGAAUUGAUCAUUUUGUGUAGGUAUGUGCACGGACGGA
Balaenoptera ricei (Rice's whale) is the source of this 1664-nucleotide RNA transcript. It is a transcript of the gene named F-box protein 4, with no coding region annotated. The transcript has 10 exons. Lineage: Eukaryota; Metazoa; Chordata; Mammalia; Artiodactyla; Balaenopteridae. The record is from RefSeq and is a predicted model, not a curated record.